UCCCGCCCACAGCGGUCUAAGCCCCGGGCCGGGUCUACAAACGGGUGCGGGGGGCCUCAGGACGCGGCUCGGGGUCGCUGCGGUGGCCGGGCGGCGUUUGGCCACUCUCGGCCCCGGUAUCGGAGGGAAGCGGAGUCCGUUGGCAUGGUCGUUACGCGUUUAUCUUGUUCCUGGAAAGUUCCAGGGGCUCCCUCACGCAGUUUUGACAGUGGGAAUUCGAAGUAGGUGGGAGAAAAGAGCCACGAGAACUGAGCUGAAGCCAGUGUGUUGGAGUAGCUCUAGAAGAAAGAGAAUUUCAAGCCUGAUGUCAAAAUUUGGGGUAUCACAUCUGAGCCUGUUGGACUGUCCUCUGAGCCAGACUACCACCAUCUUCAGUUCAGCUGGCCUGAUCAUAAACUGUCACAGCUGAGACUGUGAAAGAGGGGGAAGAGUCGUGAGACCUUCAUCUGAAUAGCCAGCCACCCCUGCCGGUCAGGGUUGAGCAAGACUCAAAUCAUCUGGGAGAAAUGGCAUUUACCGUGAAUUGAAGGAAGCCCAUCAAUGUUCAAGACAAACAUAUAAGCCAGAUACGGUGUCAUGCUUGAAUCCUAUCUACAGAGGAAGCUGAAGCCACAGAAUCCCGCCAACACAGAAGAUAUGGAUUCAACCUAGCAAGGAACUGGUAUGAAGGCCAGCCUACCACUGUAUGGUGCUGGAGAACAACCAUGCUCUGGGAAAGCUAACAAGGCAGCGGCCAAGUGGAGCUCAGUGGGCACAGCACAGCCAGCAGGCCAUGAAGACCCAAGUCCAGUCCCCAGGACUACAAACCAGGAACCACUUCUGUCCCUUCCUUUUUGUCUGACUCUCAGAUCAAAGCCCACCUUGGUACCACAAUGACAAUAGAUCCAUCUCUAUUAUUUCCUUCUAGCUUUCAGAGUCUGUUAUAUCCUAUUUCACAUAUAUCCCUGCAGAUGUGUGUGUGCCUUUGUGUAAAGUAUAUAAACAAAUUCAUUAAAUUAGGAAUAAAAGUCUAACAGUAACCCCCCCCCAAACACAAACUGGGCAGCUGUAGACUAGAACAGUCUCUUAAAAGUGGUAUCACAUGUGUGUAAACACACAUAACACAACAAUGGUAUAAGACUUCUGAAUAUGCAAUGAUCAAAUAUCAAAUACGUAAUAGUUUAGACAUGUUUCUGUUAAUAGUCACAUGUUAUAUCACUGCAGCCUUGGUUCAAAACACACAUGUACACUGUGUGACAUCAUGCCUGCUACACCAUCAAAAGGUGUCCCAAACAGCUGUUUAGAUUGAUACCACUCACUGUAUGAGCUAAUGUUUUCUGAUCUUACAGAAACCGUGAUUAAUUAUAGAAAACAAUUUCAGCGUUUCCCUACAGUUAACUCCUCAGCAUGUUAUUAAACUAGUUAGUUACCCUUUGGACUGUACUGUAAUUUGUUGACUUGAGUUUCAUAUAAAAAAAAUUAAAUGAAUUUCGGCUUGGAAUUACAACAGAAUUUUCAAUGAUUUUUGAUAUAAUUCAAAAUAUACUUGUCACUUUGCACUAUAUAAAAUGUUUUCAGCAUUGAUGACUAUGAAAUCAAACCAACUCUGAAAAAUGUUGGAGAUGCUCUGUCCUGCAGUAUUAAUAUAUUCAGCCAAGAUUUGAUUCUUUAUGUGAAAACAAGUGAGCACAUCUGUCUCAUUUGCAUGCAGAUGUGCUUUAAUCUCAAUCAAUGUUCAAUUUAUAUCUGUGUAUCAAAGCAAUGCCUUAAGAUCUUUGAUUUAUUAUCAGUAAAUGUUUGAUUGCUAUACUAAUUUAUAUGCCUGAGGCUGCAUGAAAAUUUCUCAGACAAAAAAGGGCGACAAAGGAACAAAGUUUAACCUGUGCUGGUGCAAUGUGAAGAGAUGGUGGCCAGGGUUGUCUCCUACAACUGGCCUGUUCCCAGCAGAGGCAGCUAAGCUGCACUGUGACUAAACGACCUGAGAAUCACAAGUUGCCUGUCCUGGGUGGAGGGGUAUUUUAAAUUCUAAUGCCGUUAAGCUUUUAUUUAAAGCUUUUAAAGGAGGGAGUACUGGAAAGAUGGCUCAAUGUGAUAUUAAUACCUAUGUAAAGCAGGAUAACAGUGCUAGCAGAGGUAAAGACAGCCAGGCCAGUCACUCAGUGAGCUCCAGGUCCUAUUUGAUGAGACUCUUUAAAAAAGUAAGAUGGGUAGCAACAGGGGAAGAAGCUGAUGUCAGUGUCUGGCUCUACACAUCUGGAAGAGAGCAUCUGGAUACACGUGCCCCACCCAGACACAGCUGGAGGUCUGGACCUGGGGAUUCACUAAGCUCCUGUAACACAAUGACCAAUGAACCAGGAUACACAACAAGGAAAGGAUAUCUCUUCAAUAAAUGAUGCUAAGAAAACUAGAUAUGUGUAUUUAUAGAGGAUAAAAUUGGAUCCUUCUACUGUAUACAAGGAUGGAUUAAAGGCAAACAUAAGAUCUGAAACUAUUACACUAGAAAGAAAUGGGAAAACAUGACAGUGGAGUAGAAAUUUUUUUUUCUUUUUUCUUUUAUAGGAUACAAAGCAAAAAACAAGUGGGAUCAAAUCAAACUAAAGAGUUACACAACAAAGUGAGCACAGCACACAGACGGGAGAAAAUAUUUACACAGACGCAGUCUGGUAAGGGAUUAAAAUCCCAAAUAUUUAAGCUCAAACAAUUCACAGCAAGAAAACAAAUAACCCAACUUUAAAAGUGGGCAAAGGCCAGGUAUGCUGGGCUAAGGAAGUAGGAUCAUAAUGUCAGCUUUGGCUAAACAAAGAGGGCAAAGGGUCAGAACAGAUAUUUCAAAGUGAUGCAAAUGAAUAACAAGUGCAUGAGAAAAUGUACCAGUAGACAGUAAAAACUCAAUCCAGAGAUACCUAAAUUCAUGCUGAUUGGAGCACAAAAAUCAUUGUUGGUGGGAAUGUAAAUUGCUGUAGCCACCUAAACACUAUGAAGUACCUCAAAAGAAUGAAACCAUAAUAUCCUUAUGCAUCCAAAGAAACAGACGUUGUCAUGGGAUUUCUGCAUCAUGCAUUCCAUGAUCACAAUAGCCAAAAUAUGAAACCAACAGAAGGGUUGAUCAUGGGUGAACAGACAAAGAAAAUGUGACAGGAUGAGAAAACAUCACAGCCCAUUUGUCAUAGAGCAAACGAACCUAGAAUAAGGAAAGACAAAUAUAUAUACUUAUGUGUGAUCAUAUUUCUGCAGCACAGGAGGAGAAAGUAGAAUGUUGGUCAAAGGGUACAUGUCAGACAGGAGAAGUACAUUUUGAGAUCUACUGUACAGUAGCAUAUCUGGAGUAAAAAAAAUAUUUUAUGUUCCAAAAUAGUGAGGUAAAAUUUAAAUGUCUCACCAUAAAAAAAUAGCUAUUCCAUGCCAAAGAUAUAAAUUAUCUCGAUUUAUUCAUCCCCCACUGUGUGGAUUUCAUAUUCCAUAUACUCUGGGAUACUGUAAUCUUCUCCCCCUAGAACAUCACAUUUCCUCUACUGAAUCAUGCCUGUUAGCACUCAAGGAAUGAAUUCUCUCAAAUUAACACAACUGUUCUCAUCAUUACUUCCGCCUUGAUUUUUCUAUUUGCAACAUAAUUUUUUCUGCAUGUUUGCUUUGGCUUUCCAAAUCUGUCUCUCAUGAAACUCACACCAACUUUAUCCAUUUAUGCUUCCAAAGCUACAUUGAGGUCAAGAAUUAGUUCCUAUUAAAGUCAGCGGUCAUCUUUGAGUUCCUAGUUUACUUGGCCAUUAGAAAUCUUUGUGAACCAUAGAUCCCACCCUCUCCCGGAAGCACUCCCCCAGGGAGAGCCCUUCUACCCAGCUGAUUGCUCCUCCUCACCUACACAACUCUGGGAUCUGCUCAUGGACUCCUGUCUACUCACCCACAUGGUAGUACACGACUGUCUAUAAAUCCAGUUUCAGGGGUUCUGACACCCUCACACAGACAUAACAAUGAACAGAAAAAAUAAAAAUAAGUCAUUAAAAGGGAAAAGUUUGUUUAAAAAAACAAUAGAAUUCUUGGACUCUAUCAAAAACAAUUUAUUCUAAAAAAAAGACUACGGGGGGGGGG
Long non-coding RNA from Alexandromys fortis (reed vole), 4065 nucleotides. RefSeq lists it as uncharacterized. The transcript is spliced from 6 exons. The record is from RefSeq and is a predicted model, not a curated record. Lineage: Eukaryota; Metazoa; Chordata; Mammalia; Rodentia; Cricetidae.